AAAUUGAAGAGUUUGAUCAUGGCUCAGAUUGAACGCUGGCGGCAGGCCUAACACAUGCAAGUCGAACGGUAACAGGAAGCAGCUUGCUGCUUUGCUGACGAGUGGCGGACGGGUGAGUAAUGUCUGGGAAACUGCCUGGUGGAGGGGGAUAACUACUGGAAACGGUAGCUAAUACCGCAUAACGUCGCAAGACCAAAGAGGGGGACCUUCG
Molecule: ribosomal RNA, 211 nt
Filed under: Escherichia coli
Lineage: Bacteria; Pseudomonadati; Pseudomonadota; Gammaproteobacteria; Enterobacterales; Enterobacteriaceae
Description: partial 16S ribosomal RNA
Rfam family: Bacterial small subunit ribosomal RNA
Source: RNAcentral